CAAUGGGGGAACCCUGAUGCAGCGACGCCGCGUGAAGGAAGAAGUAUCUCGGUAUGUAAACUUCUAUCAGCAGGGNAAGAUAGUGACGGUACCUGACUAAGAAGCCCCGGCUAACUACGUGCCAGCAGCCGCGGUAAUACGUAGGGGGCAAGCGUUAUCCGGAUUUACUGGGUGUAAAGGGAGCGUAGAUGGCAUGGCAAGUCUGAAGUGAAAGCCCGGGGCUUAACCCCGGGACUGCUUUGGAAACUGUUAAGCUAGAGUGCAGGAGAGGUAAGCGGAAUUCCUAGUGUAGCGGUGAAAUGCGUAGAUAUUAGGAGGAACACCGGUGGCGAAGGCGGCUUACUGGACUGUAACUGACAUUGAGGCUCGAAAGCGUGGGGAGCAAACAGGAUUAGAUACCCUGGUAGUCCAAGGGCGAAUUC
Molecule: ribosomal RNA, 422 nt
Filed under: uncultured bacterium
Lineage: Bacteria
Description: SSU rRNA
Rfam family: Bacterial small subunit ribosomal RNA
Source: RNAcentral